UGCCAUCUGAAAAAGAAAAAAAUUGAAUAGGUCUUCUGGACGGGUUCUUCUCUAAUGAAUCAUGCAUCAGGACACCUGCCAUCUGCUUUACCGGUAACGACUCACCCCUUGCUUCUUGGACUCCUGCUCUUUGCCUUACCCCUGAUCAAUACCUCCAGCCAUCUGACCACCUGGAUCUCGACCCACGCCUGUACCACUGAUUAUCAGAACUUGCCUUUUGGACCCAAAUACUCCAACCAAACUAACGGUGAUGUCACCGCACCAUACUGGAAUGCAAACCCUUCCAUCAAAGUUUCCGUCUGGAGUCCUUCAACUGGAAACAGAUCUGACGAGAAUCCGGUCCAAGCACUUCCUGGUUCAUUCACCUCUGCACAAUAAACUUUGUAAAACUU
Long non-coding RNA from Austrofundulus limnaeus, 392 nucleotides. RefSeq lists it as uncharacterized. Lineage: Eukaryota; Metazoa; Chordata; Actinopteri; Cyprinodontiformes; Rivulidae. The record is from RefSeq and is a predicted model, not a curated record. The transcript has 2 exons.